UUUUCUUAUUUGGUCUAGUGAAUUAUAUGAAUUGCUAAUAGAUACCAAUAUCUUAUCCCAUGAAAAAUCCAUAAACCGUGACUUGACUUGAGAGGCAUUGCUGAAAAAAGUUUGCUUUGCUGUUUAAGUUUCAGUAACUUUUCCAUGUGCUAAGACACAAUGUGUUUUUUUUCCAUGGAGCACAAUUCACAUAGAGACAAUACGUACACAGAAAAAUAUCAACUAAGGUGAAGCAAAUGGUAGUGGCAACUCUUGCAGAAUCUGGUAUGAACCUUUCAGAUGAUGUUACAGAGAGCAUCAUUGACAAGAUAUUUCCGGAGUAGCAGUUUGCUUCUUGUGGAAUGCAGGCGUGUAUAGAUUAAAAUAUUAACCCACGGAAGAAUCAUGACGAAAACUUUUGUUUUUAAUUUACGUUAUUUAAAUUUGUGAACAACAUUAUGUAUGUAUUAUGCAACACUAUGUAUUGAGAUAAUUUUGUUGAUGUAUUGUUAUGAAUGGAAGAAUAUUUUAAUU
Molecule: non-coding RNA, 513 nt
Organism: Camellia sinensis
Lineage: Eukaryota; Viridiplantae; Streptophyta; Magnoliopsida; Ericales; Theaceae
Source: RefSeq, a predicted model, not a curated record